Molecule: long non-coding RNA, 274 nt
Organism: Hyposmocoma kahamanoa
Lineage: Eukaryota; Metazoa; Arthropoda; Insecta; Lepidoptera; Cosmopterigidae
Exons: 3
Source: RefSeq, a predicted model, not a curated record
GUAUUUCAUAUUCUGAAUGUAGCGAAGAUGAACAUAUUUUUAUUUUCUUCAAUUUUGGUGGGUUUAUUACCCAUUUUUAUUGAGAAUUUGAAGGUGCAAAAAUUUGAUCCAAAUGGAGGCGGUGGCAGUUGGGGAGGUGUUGGGAGUUGGAGAGGCGAUGGAAAUUGGGGAACCUACGGAGGUGGUGAAAGAGGUGUAGAAGUCGGUAAACAAGGAGAUGGCGGUGAUAGCGGUGCAAGUUGGAGAGGCGGUGGAAGUGACGGAAUUUGGAGAG